AGAGUUUGAUCAUGGCUCAGAUUGAACGCUGGCGGCAGGCCUAACACAUGCAAGUCGAACGGUAACAGGAAGCAGCUUGCUGCUUCGCUGACGAGUGGCGGACGGGUGAGUAAUGUCUGGGAAGCUGCCUGAUGGAGGGGGAUAACUACUGGAAACGGUAGCUAAUACCGCAUAAUGUCGCAAGACCAAAGAGGGGACCUUCGGGCCUCUUGCCAUCGGAUGUGCCCAGAUGGGAUUAGCUUGUUGGUGGGGUAACGGCUCACCAAGGCGACGAUCCCUAGCUGGUCUGAGAGGAUGACCAGCCACACUGGAACUGAGACACGGUCCAGACUCCUACGGGAGGCAGCAGUGGGGAAUAUUGCACAAUGGGCGCAAGCCUGAUGCAGCCAUGCCGCGUGUAUGAAGAAGGCCUUCGGGUUGUAAAGUACUUUCAGCGGGGAGGAAGGGAGUAAAGUUAAUACCUUUGCUCAUUGACGUUACCCGCAGAAGAAGCACCGGCUAACUUCGUGCCAGCAGCCGCGGUAAUACGGAGGGUGCAAGCGUUAAUCGGAAUUACUGGGCGUAAAGCGCACGCAGGCGGUUUGUUAAGUCAGAUGUGAAAUCCCCGGGCUCAACCUGGGAACUGCAUCUGAUACUGGCAAGCUUGAGUCUCGUAGAGGGGGGUAGAAUUCCAGGUGUAGCGGUGAAAUGCGUAGAGAUCUGGAGGAAUACCGGUGGCGAAGGCGGCCCCCUGGACGAAGACUGACGCUCAGGUGCGAAAGCGUGGGGAGCAAACAGGAUUAGAUACCCUGGUAGUCCACGCCGUAAACGAUGUCGACUUGGAGGUUGUGCCCUUGAGGCGUGGCUUCCGGAGCUAACGCGUUAAGUCGACCGCCUGGGGAGUACGGCCGCAAGGUUAAAACUCAAAUGAAUUGACGGGGGCCCGCACAAGCGGUGGAGCAUGUGGUUUAAUUCGAUGCAACGCGAAGAACCUUACCUGGUCUUGACAUCCACGGAAGUUUUCAGAGAUGAGAAUGUGCCUUCGGGAACCGUGAGACAGGUGCUGCAUGGCUGUCGUCAGCUCGUGUUGUGAAAUGUUGGGUUAAGUCCCGCAACGAGCGCAACCCUUAUCCUUUGUUGCCAGCGGUCCGGCCGGGAACUCAAAGGAGACUGCCAGUGAUAAACUGGAGGAAGGUGGGGAUGACGCCAAGUCAUCAUGGCCCUUACGACCAGGGCUACACACGUGCUACAAUGGCGCAUACAAAGAGAAGCGACCUCGCGAGAGCAAGCGGACCUCAUAAAGUGCGUCGUAGUCCGGAUUGGAGUCUGCAACUC
Molecule: ribosomal RNA, 1314 nt
Filed under: metagenome
Description: bacterial SSU rRNA
Rfam family: Bacterial small subunit ribosomal RNA
Source: RNAcentral